Apis florea (little honeybee) is the source of this 975-nucleotide long non-coding RNA. The record is from RefSeq and is a predicted model, not a curated record. NCBI's taxonomy places the organism in Eukaryota, Metazoa, Arthropoda, Insecta, Hymenoptera, Apidae.
CUUUAGUAAAUUAUCUUUGUCGUUGAUUAUUUUUUUAAUUAAUAUAAUAUGUGUAUAUAUGUAUAUACUAUACAUAUAUAGUACAAAAUUAUAUAUUUAUAAGAUGAAUGCCGAAUGUAUAAAAUCUAAUAUUUUAUUGAUAAACAAAUAGUUGAAUAAUGAUAAUUUUAUAAGAUUUAAAAAACUAAAAUCCAAUUUGAUAGAAUAAAAAUUGACUAUAUAAAAACGUACAAUCUUGAUAAAAAAUUUCAAGAAAUGGUCGAAAUCAAAUGUAUAACAAAUGUAAUGUUAAUAAUUAAAUUACAAUUGAUUUUCAAUUACCGUGCAACACUAAUACGAUAAAUAUACAUGUAUAUAUACAUGUAGAUAAUAUCGAAUUAUAUUAUAGAUAAUAUCAUGUUAAGAGAAUUUUCAAACAACGAGUUAUUGUCAAACGUUAAAAAAAUAUAUUAUAAGUAUGACAAAUAUCGACUUCAAUCGAUGUUCAAUCUACGUAUAAUAUUUGCUUGUAACCUUGCAAUAUGUUCUUUAUAGCAAAAAUUUAUUAAUAGUACAUUUUUGUAUUUUUUUCAUUCAUAGAUUUAAUAUAAGAUUAAAUAUAUAGUUCUUGUAUUUGAAAAAAAAUUUUAUAUAAAAUAUUCCAAAAAUUGGAAAGAUAAGAAACAACAAGGAAUAAUUUCUAUUGGUUCUACCUGACCUUGACACAUCAAUGACGUCACAAAAGUCAGUUAUUGUUAUACAUUAUUGUUUCCAAGGAUCAGCAAUAUCAUAAUAAUAGUAAUAUAACUUGUAAAAAUAAUAAAAGUAAAAUUUUAUGCAUAUCAUUUCAUGAAACAUGUGACAAUGUGAUUAUUGUGGUUUAGCUAAUGAUUCAUUAUAUAUUUUAUACUUCUCUUUUCUUCUCAUAAGCAAAUAAUUAAAACAUUCUUUUCAUUUUUAAUUUAAUCAAUAAACUAUAUAUAUUAUUUCAUUUUA